CCGCUCAGGGUUAGUCGGGACCUAAGCCGAGGCCGAUAGGCGUAGGCGAUGGACAACAGGUAGAGAUUCCUGUACCAGUGCUAAUUGUUUAACCGAUGGGGUGACACAGAAGGAUAGGGAAUCGCACGAAUGGAAAUGUGCGUCCAAGCAGUGAGUGUGAGAAGUAGGCAAAUCCGCUUCUCGCGAAGCAUGAGCUGUGAUGGGGAAGGAAAUUAAGUACGGAAGUUCCUGAUUUCACGCUGUCAAGAAAAGCCUCUAGGAAGAGUAGUACUGCCCGUACCGCAAACCGACACAGGUAGAUGAGGAGAGAAUCCUAAGGUGAGCGAGAGAACUCUCGUUAAGGAACUCGGCAAAAUGACCCCGUAACUUCGGGAGAAGGGGUGCUCUAUUAGGGUGCAAGCCCGAGAGAGCCGCAGUGAAUAGGCCCAGGCGACUGUUUAGCAAAAACACAGGUCUCUGCAAAACCGUAAGGUGACGUAUAGGGGCUGACGCCUGCCCGGUGCUGGAAGGUUAAGAGGAGUGCUUAGCUUCGGCGAAGGUACGAAUUGAAGCCCCAGUAAACGGCGGCCGUAACUAUAACGGUCCUAAGGUAGCGAAAUUCCUUGUCGGGUAAGUUCCGACCCGCACGAAAGGCGCAACGAUCUGGGCACUGUCUCAACGAGAGACUCGGUGAAAUUAUAGUACCUGUGAAGAUGCAGGUUACCCGCGACAGGACGGAAAGACCCCGUGGAGCUUUACUGCAACCUGAUAUGGAAUGUUUGUACCGCUUGUACAGGAUAGGUAGGAGCCGAAGAGACGUGUGCGCUAGCAUACGAGGAGGCAAUGGUGGGAUACUACCCUGGCUGUAUGACCAUUCUAACCCGCCACGCUUAGCGCGUGGGGAGACAGUGUCAGGUGGGCAGUUUGACUGGGGCGGUCGCCUCCUAAAGAGUAACGGAGGCGCCCAAAGGUUCCCUCAGAAUGGAUGGAAAUCAUUCGCAGAGUGUAAAGGCACAAGGGAGCUUGACUGCGAGACUGACAAGUCGAGCAGGGACGAAAGUCGGGCUUAGUGAUCCGGUGGUUCCGCAUGGAAGGGCCAUCGCUCAACGGAUAAAAGCUACCCCGGGGAUAACAGGCUUAUCUCCCCCAAGAGUCCACAUCGACGGGGAGGUUUGGCACCUCGAUGUCGGCUCGUCGCAUCCUGGGGCUGUAGUCGGUCCCAAGGGUUGGGCUGUUCGCCCAUUAAAGCGGCACGCGAGCUGGGKKCAGAACGUCGUGAGACAGUUCGGUCCCUAUCCGGCGCGGGCGCAGGAAAUUUGAGAGGAGCUGUCCUUAGGACGAGAGGA
Molecule: ribosomal RNA, 1325 nt
Filed under: Listeria monocytogenes
Lineage: Bacteria; Bacillati; Bacillota; Bacilli; Caryophanales; Listeriaceae
Description: bacterial LSU rRNA
Source: RNAcentral